RNAcentral lists this long non-coding RNA (514 nucleotides) under Heterocephalus glaber (naked mole-rat). RNAcentral describes it as "lncRNA (ENSHGLG00100045115.1)". Lineage: Eukaryota; Metazoa; Chordata; Mammalia; Rodentia; Bathyergidae. The record is from RNAcentral.
UGACUGCAGGAGCCAGGUCUGUGUUCGCCAGUCCUGUCAGCAGGACCCCCCCUGGUCUGCUCUCCAGCUGCCAGCAGUGUCCUGUGACAUCUUUCCUUCGUUCGCUGAGGGAGCUUGGCAGUGUGAAGCAGCCAAGGAGCCGCUCCGGGAUCCAGGACAACUUUCCUUGGAGAACUUUCAAGAGAGUUCUGCUACGAAGUGGCAAAGUCGAAGAUUCCGGUCUCUGGGGCCAAGGCAAAGGGCAUCCUCUACACGUAGUCAUCCAGAGGUGCCCCCUUUCAGAGACUCCAUUCUUGCUUUUUCUCGGGUGGAACCUUCAGGAGGUCGUCCUGCAGCUUCAGGAUGGGCAGCAGAUUGCAGUGUUCAUGCACAGCAAGGAGAAGAAAUGAGCAGAAGGCUGUGCCCGCCCUCCCAGCCAUCGUGAACCGGUUCUCGGUGGCUGCUGGCCUGAGGUGGUUCCCGUGUCCUGCUGACAUGACUACCACAGAUGCUGCUGUGCUUCUUUUAAUUCAGA